Long non-coding RNA from Poeciliopsis prolifica (blackstripe livebearer), 456 nucleotides. RefSeq lists it as uncharacterized. NCBI's taxonomy places the organism in Eukaryota, Metazoa, Chordata, Actinopteri, Cyprinodontiformes, Poeciliidae. The record is from RefSeq and is a predicted model, not a curated record. The transcript has 2 exons.
AGUACUUCCUGAACAUUCUGGCGCUAAUCUGCUAGCUCCGCCUAGCGUGAAAAGAUAUUUUCACUCCGUUCAGCUCGCUUAAUUUCAACCGAAGCGAGUUGAAACAGAUGGGAAUGUAGAAAUGUGAAGAAGGGGAAGGAGGAUGAGGAGGACCAGACGGAGGGAGAGCCGAAAGUCGGUCAUGUUUGUGCCGCUGCUAGCUUGAAAAUGCUAACCGGAAAUUAAAUUCAAGCUGUUUACGGUCGACUGGAAGCGCGAGUAUGGAGGCCGGAGGCGCAGGCAGAGUUUGGAGUAGCAGGCUGUGACGUUCAGCUUGGGCAGAGGCAGGUGGGCUGGCAGGGCAGAGACACCAUCACAUGAUUUACCAACCAUAAUGCAAAGCUUAGUCAUCAGAUGACUGCAAACAUGAAGUAUGAAAGUUUCCCCGAGGCAAUCAUUAAAAUAAGUGAACCUGAA